GACGAACGCUGGCGGCGUGCUUAACACAUGCAAGUCGAACGGAAAGGCCUUUUCGGAGGUACUCGAGUGGCGAACGGGUGAGUAACACGUGGGUGAUCUGCCCUGCACUCUGGGAUAAGCCUGGGAAACUGGGUCUAAUACCGGAUAGGACCGCACUUUAGUGUGUGUGGUGGAAAGUUUUUUCGGGGUAGGAUGAGCCCGCGGCCUAUCAGCUUGUUGGUGGGGUAAUGGCCUACCAAGGCGGCGACGGGUAGCCGGACUGAGAGGUUGGUCGGCCACAUUGGGACUGAGAUACGGCCCAGACUCCUACGGGAGGCAGCAGUGGGGAAUAUUGAACAAUGGGCGCAAGCCUGAUGCAGCGACGCCGCGUGGGGGAUGACGGCCUUCGGGUUGUAAACUACUUUCGCCAGGGACGAAGCGUUUUGUGACGGUACCUGGAGAAGAAGCACCGGCUAACUACGUG
This 463-nucleotide ribosomal RNA is filed under the name uncultured bacterium. Its description in RNAcentral is "partial 16S ribosomal RNA". It matches the Rfam family "Bacterial small subunit ribosomal RNA", at positions 28 to 507 of the family's 1533-position model. The record is from RNAcentral.